UCUAGCUUGCUAGAAGAUGACGAGCGGCGGACGGGUGAGUAACGCGUAGAAAUCUGCCUAGUAGUGGGGGACAACAUGUGGAAACGCAUGCUAAUACCGCAUACGCCCUACGGGGGAAAGGAGGGGAUCUUCGGACCUUUCGCUAUUAGAUGAGCCUGCGUGAGAUUAGCUAGUUGGUGGGGUAAAGGCCUACCAAGGCGACGAUCUCUAGCUGGUAUGAGAGGGUGAUCAGCCACACUGGGACUGAGACACGGCCCAGACUCCUACGGGAGGCAGCAGUGGGGAAUAUUGGACAAUGGGCGCAAGCCUGAUCCAGCCAUGCCGCGUGUGUGAAGAAGGCCUUAGGGUUGUAAAGCACUUUCAGGAGUGAGGAAGGGCGUAUAGUUAAUACCUGUAUGUUCUGACGUUAACUCCAGAAGAAGCACCGGCUAACUCUGUGCCAGCAGCCGCGGUAAUACAGAGGGUGCGAGCGUUAAUCGGAAUUACUGGGCGUAAAGCGCGCGUAGGCGGUUUGUUAAGUCGGAUGUGAAAUCCCAGGGCUCAACCUUGGAAU
Molecule: ribosomal RNA, 553 nt
Filed under: uncultured bacterium
Lineage: Bacteria
Description: bacterial SSU rRNA
Rfam family: Bacterial small subunit ribosomal RNA
Source: RNAcentral